Molecule: ribosomal RNA, 254 nt
Filed under: uncultured bacterium
Lineage: Bacteria
Description: partial 16S ribosomal RNA
Rfam family: Bacterial small subunit ribosomal RNA
Source: RNAcentral
UACGGGGGGGAGCAAGCGUUUGUUCGGAUUUACUGGGCGUAAAGGGCGCGUAGGCGGCGUGACAAGUCACUUGUGAAAUCUCCGGGCUUAACUCGGAACGGUCAAGUGAUACUGUCGUGCUAGAGUACAGAAGGGGCAACUGGAAUUCUCGGUGUAGCGGUGAAAUGCGUAGAUAUCGAGAGGAACACCUGCGGCGAAGGCGGGUUGCUGGGCUGAUACUGAGCUGAGGCGCGAAAGCUAGGGGAGCGAACGGG